UUACAAGUAGUAUAAAUAAUUACAUAAGUUUUUCAUACUUAAAGUACAAUUUUAAUUGUCUUGUGAA
RNAcentral lists this transfer RNA (67 nucleotides) under Sclerolinum brattstromi. RNAcentral describes it as "tRNA-Glu". The record is from RNAcentral. Lineage: Eukaryota; Metazoa; Annelida; Polychaeta; Sabellida; Siboglinidae.